CCUACUGGUGGCAGCAGUGAGGAAUAUUGGUCAAUGGGCGCUAGCCUGAACCAGCCAAGUAGCGUGAAGGAUGACUGCCCUAUGGGUUGUAAACUUCUUUUAUAUGGGAAUAAAGUGCAGUAUGUAUACUGCUUUGCAUGUACCUUAUGAAUAAGGCUCGGCUAACACCGUGCCAGCAGCCGCGGUAAUACGGAGGAUCCGAGCGUUAUCCGGAUUUAUUGGGUUUAAAGGGAGCGUAGGCGGGUUGUUAAGGCAGUCGUGAAAGUUUGCGGCCCAACCGUAAAAGUGCAGUUGAAACUGGCAUCCUUGAGUACAGGAGAGGUAGGCGGAAUUCGUGGUGUAGCGGUGAAAUGCGUAGAUAUCACGAAGAACUCCGAUUGCGAAGGCAGCCUGCUGGACUGUAACUGACGCUGAGGCUCGAAAGUGUGGGGAUCAAACAGGAUUAGAUACCCUUGUAGUC
RNAcentral lists this ribosomal RNA (460 nucleotides) under uncultured bacterium. RNAcentral describes it as "partial 16S ribosomal RNA". It matches the Rfam family "Bacterial small subunit ribosomal RNA", at positions 338 to 795 of the family's 1533-position model. The record is from RNAcentral.